RNAcentral lists this ribosomal RNA (468 nucleotides) under uncultured bacterium. Its description in RNAcentral is "partial 16S ribosomal RNA". It matches the Rfam family "Bacterial small subunit ribosomal RNA", at positions 28 to 507 of the family's 1533-position model. The record is from RNAcentral.
GACGAACGCUGGCGGCGUGCUUAACACAUGCAAGUCGAACGGAAAGGCCCUGCUUUUGUGGGGUGCUCGAGUGGCGAACGGGUGAGUAACACGUGAGUAACCUGCCCUUGACUUUGGGAUAACUUCAGGAAACUGGGGCUAAUACCGGAUAGGAGCUCCUGCUGCAUGGUGGGGGUUGGAAAGUUUCGGCGGUUGGGGAUGGACUCGCGGCUUAUCAGCUUGUUGGUGGGGUAGUGGCUUACCAAGGCUUUGACGGGUAGCCGGCCUGAGAGGGUGACCGGCCACAUUGGGACUGAGAUACGGCCCAGACUCCUACGGGAGGCAGAAGUGGGGAAUAUUGCACAAGGGGCGGAAGCCUGAUGCAGCAACGCCGCGUGCGGGAUGACGGCCUUCGGGUUGUAAACCGCUUGCGCCUGUGACGAAGCGUGAGUGACGGUAAUGGGUAAAGAAGCACCGGCUAACUACGUG